RNAcentral lists this ribosomal RNA (765 nucleotides) under uncultured marine microorganism. RNAcentral's name for it is "bacterial SSU rRNA". It matches the Rfam family "Bacterial small subunit ribosomal RNA", at positions 8 to 818 of the family's 1533-position model. The record is from RNAcentral.
AGAGUUUGAUCAUGGCUCAGGAUGAACGCUGGCGGUAUGCCUAACACAUGCAAGUCGAACGAUGUCUUCGGACAUAGUGGCGGACGGGUGAGUAACGCGUGAGAAUCUGCCUCUAGGAUGGGGAUAACGGUUGGAAACGACCGCUAACACCCAAUAUGCCGUAAGGUGAAAAAUUUAUUGCCUGGAGAGGAGCUCGCGUCUGAUUAGCUAGUUGGUGGGGUAAGAGCUCACCAAGGCUUCGAUCAGUAGCUGGUCUGAGAGGAUGAGCAGCCACACUGGGACUGAGACACGGCCCAGACUCCUACGGGAGGCAGCAGUGGGGAAUUUUCCGCAAUGGGCGAAAGCCUGACGGAGCAAUACCGCGUGAGGGAGGAAUGCCUUUGGGUUGUAAACCUCUUUUCUCAGGGAAGAAGAUCUGACGGUACCUGAGGAAUAAGUAUCGGCUAACUCCGUGCCAGCAGCCGCGGUAAUACGGAGGAUGCAAGCGUUAUCCGGAAUCAUUGGGCGUAAAGCGUCCGCAGGUGGUUUCCAAAGUCUGCUGUUAAAGACUGGAGCUCAACUCCGGAACGGCGGUGGAAACUUGGAAACUAGAGUUCGGUAGGGGUAGCAGGAAUUCCCAGUGUAGCGGUGAAAUGCGUAGAUAUUGGGAAGAACAUCGGUGGCGAAGGCGUGCUACUGGACCGUAACUGACACUCAGGGACGAAAGCUAGGGGAGCGAAAGGGAUUAGAUACCCCUGUAGUCCUAGCUGUAAACGAUGGAAACUA